Molecule: long non-coding RNA, 680 nt
Organism: Aquila chrysaetos chrysaetos
Lineage: Eukaryota; Metazoa; Chordata; Aves; Accipitriformes; Accipitridae
Exons: 3
Source: RefSeq, a predicted model, not a curated record
GGAAUCAGGGGGAGAAGGAAAAUGAACCGGGGGGAGGGAAGAGCUGCUCCACACCCAACCUGCAAGCUGGCAUGGAAAUGGUGGAGAGAUAUCUGUACUACAGGAAAAUACAAACACGGAAUUGCUGGUCUCCGUGUGUUUGUUAUUUUACCUCUGUGAUCCCAGAGCGGGUUAUGAGCACUGGCUGCUCUCGCAGACCCUCCUGGCCCCACCAAGGCGGCUUCGCAGAGCCAUUUAUCUAGGAAGACGCCGUGCAUGAUUCCCGUCUACAGUUUUCUUAGUCUAGACAUUGGUCACUGCCACUGAGGAGCACCAGCAAAGCCUCUUCCACCUGUGGGGAGUGACAGGGUUUCAGUUCUGUUGCUGUUCAUAUGGUUGUUGCUUCAGUUGUCUGGCAUUUGAUUAAACCUUACAUUUAUUAAGUCUGAAAGGAAGCUGUUAAAUCAGUCAGUGUAAAUUAUGCUUUAACUUAGCCCAUUAUGCUGCCAAUACAAUUUGUUGCAACGGACUUUUAGGUCUCCACUUUCUUCCAGUUUGGACAUACCAAAGAGCAAACUAAGCAAGGGGAGGAUGCGUGAGGAAAACGCCCGGAAACAUGCCAUUUGUGGAGCAAGGUCCCAUGACAUGGGAUGCGCCUUGAUUUUUUUCAGUUUAGAGAGUAAGAUUUUUUUAAUUAAAUA